GGGGCUGAUUCAGGAUUCGACAGGAUCAUGAAGGCUUGUGGAGCAUGCCGAGGGGCGGUUGGCCUCGUUAAAAGCCGCAAAAAAAUAGUCGCAAACGACGAAAACUUCGAAUCGUACGCUCUAGCAGCGUAAUAGUAGCUUAAUACCCUACCGAUUCUCUCUCGCCCUAGCCUCCGCCUGUAGGACUGGGAACAACGAGGGAUCAAACCUAAACAGGAUCGCGUGGAAGCUUUGACUCGAGAGCGGAAGCGUUAAACUCAAUUCGGGUAUGUCUUUGUGUGGCGUGUCUUUCCGCAGCCCACUGACGAGAAUAAAGAAAGACUAAGCAUGUAGCGCCAUUAGUUAGACUGAUUUUGGACGCGGGUUCAACUCCCGCCAGCUCCACCA
RNAcentral lists this transfer-messenger RNA (387 nucleotides) under Veronia pacifica. RNAcentral describes it as "Standard tmRNA". It matches the Rfam family "transfer-messenger RNA". From Rfam's summary of the family: Bacterial tmRNA, also known as 10Sa RNA or SsrA, is named for its dual tRNA and mRNA-like properties. Its role is to liberate the mRNA from a stalled ribosome. The record is from Rfam by way of RNAcentral. Lineage: Bacteria; Pseudomonadati; Pseudomonadota; Gammaproteobacteria; Vibrionales; Vibrionaceae.